Pelobates cultripes (western spadefoot toad) is the source of this 100-nucleotide non-coding RNA. NCBI's taxonomy places the organism in Eukaryota, Metazoa, Chordata, Amphibia, Anura, Pelobatidae. The record is from the annotation of a GenBank genome assembly.
CACACUGAGCAGGUUACAUUCUGGAUAGCUAAUGGUGAAAGAUGGCUUUAUGGAGACAUAAAGCCAUCUUUCACCAUUAGCUGUCCAGAAUGUAACCUGC